UUUGACAUUGGAUUAUUUCAGGCACCGGUCGCUGUGGAGGCGACUCGAGCCUCUCUCUCUCUCGCUCACAUUUAUGUCUGCGUCCCAUUACCCGAAACGCGUGUUUGUUGUUUUUCUCCAACAAGGAGCCCACUGACAGCUGGUGAACAUGGGAGGUAACGGCAGCACGUCCAGGAAAGUCUCGUUCGGACUCGACGAGAAUGAGAAGGUCACCGUAAUGGAAGGAGUGAAGCUCUCAAAUGAUGUGCUCCGGCGGAUGAGGGACUCUCAGGGGACUGAUGGCGCCAAGCCACACAAACCACCACCAAGUCCAAAACCAACAGGGCCCUCCUCUACAGAAGUCCAGGAAGAAUUCCGCAAAAACUUUGAGCGUCAUCAGGCUCUGGUGCAGGAGCAGUUGGCCAGACUGGCUCAGAAAGAGAGAGAGACGGCAGGAACCCAGGGCCUGGGUGAGCUGACCCCUGCCCUUCUCAUGGAGAAAGGAAAAGCCCACGAGGAGCAAGAAAAAGCAAAGAUUCUGCCAGCCGAUGUGGAUGCCUGGGAAAAACAGCUGAGCAGGAAAGAAAAUGAACUGGCCAGCAUAUCCAGCUUCUACAAAGAGCAGCUAGAAAUACUGGAGAAAAAGAACUUUGACAACUACAAACAGACGUCAGAACAGUACAACGAGGCGGCAACUAGAGCAGAGGCCCACAUCCGACCUCGACAGACGGCGUCUGUGUGCACCGAGCUGCAGGCCAAGGUGCUGCAGGGCUACAGAGAGAAUCCACAGCAGACCCUGCACUGCUCCGGCCUGGCCUGACAGUACAUGACCUGUGUCCAGCAGGCCAAGAAGAGCCAAAUGCAACCCGUUCUCCCUGCGGCCCGGGGCUCCAUCUCACAUUGUCAUCAGGAGGAGGUCACACUCUAAUGUGUGAACAUCGGCCCCUCUGCCUGGUCCUGAAAGGCAGAUGAAACUUUCUGCUUGGACAAGGCCACAAAGAUUUGCCCGGCGGACUUUUUUUACAAGUCUCUCGCUGCAGUGUCCAGGUGGGACGGUGGCGCAUCGGCUGAAGCAGGCGUCUUCUUAGCCGAGCGCUAGCAGGAGGCCUGUGUUCCUGUGGGCGCCAGAUGCUGCUGAGUCAUCGUGUACAAGCUGAACAGUACGAGUCUUCAGCCCGAGACGCACAAGAAGCAAAGAAGUACACCCGCGCACAUUCACGACGACGUCUGAUUUGCUGGAUUCUAAUAAGAGUUUUACCGUGGAGGAGCUUCAGGUUCAGUGUGUGUGUGUAUGUGUGUGGGGGGGGGGUGGGUGGUCUGAGGCACAUAAAGGAAUAUUUUACAUGUAACUGCUGCAGCCACACUCCAGCUCCCUCCGUCCGCUGUGCAGUUUGUUGAAACAGCAGCAUGAGACCACAGUCGCUGACGGAUGCUUUCUCCACCCUAUCAGCUUCCUCCUUAGUCCGCGGCGCCUGAUCACACCUACACUGAGUUUAAAACAUUCUGGACAGUAAUGGAUCGCCGCGCUGAAAGACCAAUUACCGUCGCCAUCCAUCAAAACCUCCCCUUCUUUUUUUUUUUUUCACACGGCAACCGCGCAUGUUUUUAUGAAGUUUAAGAAAUUCACUUGCAAAUUGGCUUCACUUUGAUGAUGAUAAUAACAAUGAUGUCGGUGUGGUGCAUCCACAUGUUGUACCCCACGCACACCGUAUGCGUGUUUUUAUCCUUUCAAAUGUGGGACGCCGUGUCUGGUAGAGAAACUAAAACGGUUGUGCGCCAAGCAGAGAAGGAAUUGCCGCACAGAAGGAGUAAUAUAAAGAAAGCGAGCAAGUGAGAGUAACAGUAAACAGGCGAAUGAUCGAUGAGCGCCUGACGUGACUCAGCUCUCGGGUGUCGGCCAGCAUUUCCAUGACCAGCGAGCCGCCUACGCGACGAAGACAAACGACCCGGCAAUGAGGGAAAAUGAGGGUUUUAUCACCCGUUUCCCUCUCACACCGUUGCUGGCCGACGCUCCCCAAACUGCUUGUGUGUGUGUGUGUGUGUGUGUGUGUGUGUGUGUGUGUGUGUGUGUGUGUGUGAAGUUAACCAAAUGUGUGUCCCGUCUUCCUGAAAGGCUGGCUUGUGGUCAUGCGCUGGCCCGAGGGAGCAGUUUAGAGAAAUCACUCACUCAGCUGGAGACUUGUGGAGAAAUGCCUAAAGGUCUUAAACAGCUGUACGUUACCUGGGAUCCUAUGCGCGUAUAUAUAUGUGUGUGUGUGUGUGUCUGUGUGUGUGUGCAAGGGAGUGUGUUUAAAAGGACAUUUAUCUCAUCACGGAUAUAAUUACACUGCCCCGGGAUAGAGGGGAGUUAUACAGUUCUCCCUCCUCUCUCUCUCGAGCCCCUCUAUCCCUCCCUUUCACCCUCACUCUUCCUCUCGUACCUUCCCUUCAUUAUCCAGGCAAGGAAAGACGAUCCGCCUCCACCUUCUUCGGAAGUCAUUAUGGGAUUAGCUCAUUCCCAGAGUAUGGAUCUCUUUCCUUGGAGGCCUUGGAGGGGGCUCCCCUGUUCCUCGCUUCCCCAGACCCGGCUUACUCCAGCCGGGGUAAUCAACCAGCAGCACCCCUUCCUCCGGCCAGGAGCUCCGCCUCGGGGGAAAUCACUUCUCGCCUCACUUCAUCCAAAGUUUAAACCGUCCCCACAUUAUACCAAAUCCUUCUAGAGGGUUAAUAUAGUGAAAGGAGGUUUGUAAAAAAAAAAGACAAGCAUUGGUGUUUUUAUUUUAACAUUGAGCAAGCGAGCGCUGCUGUAAUAACGCCGUCGUCGCAGACCUGACAGGAACCGUCGCCUGGAGGGGGCAGUGUAAAAUCAUCACUUCCUGUUUGUGAAUCCCAAGGCGCCAUUGGGCUGUUGGGUAAUGACACCUGCCAACAUGGCAACAACUCUCACUUACUCCGAGGGCAAGAUUAAGAGUUGAAAGCGAACCAGUUUGUUCAGGAGGGAGAGGUUGAUUGAAGAGGCUUUGGAGGGUUUAUAACGCUCCUCGCCUCAACCGACACAUGCAGCACAACGGCGACUGUAGAUGUCACAGCCUGGACGAACUAAAAGAAGGCGCUGCAGGUUUUUGAAUCUGUUGUGUCGGACAAUGUGUCUUUUGAUGGACUAUUUGAAGAAUUUCUCAGGCCACCAGGCAACACUUGAGCGUGCGGUGUAGAGAAAUCCCGUUCAGUGGGCCCUUUCCAUUCUCUUCUGUCCACACAAUUGUGCAUCUGUCUUCAGCCUUGCUCUGGGGCAUAACAACCAUGUGUUGGUGCCACACACAUGCACGCACACACACACACAGACACUCACGCACUCCCAUACACACAGCGUUAUCUUCAGAGUCACAAGUUCGGGUUUUUCUAACUUGGGCCAUGUGGCAGCCUCCUGUUACAAAGAAGCCACACAUAUUUUCGGGGCAGGCCGGACAUUUAUCCAGCAUAAUGUGAUUGUGCUGACAUGACCUCGCUCUCAGAGGCGACGGGUCAUUGUGGGCCACAUGGUUUGGGGUCGGCCCUGUUUUACUCACAGCGGGGCUGCCUCUCUGUUCACAUGUCGGCCGUCAGGAGAGCCACGCAGGUCACCAGGGACGACUCCUGGUUUAAGUGCUGCUGCUUCUGCUUUCUUCCCCCUUGUUAGUUUUGUGUCUUUACGUCACUGCCCUGUACUUUAUCUGAAAAUCCGUAUGGAUAACACUGCCUUUAAAGCCACCAUUCAGAUUAGCAUCAAAUGGUGAAAUGAGUCUGAGGUCAUACUGUUUUGUUUAAAGGCAAAUGUAUAGUGAAAACCUGCCAUUAUGUACCUUUCUUUCUCAGUGGGACCACAUUUUAAACAAACUCCUGACAUAACAUCACCGUUUUAGUUAUAAAUAACAUAUUCUCACAUAACAAGUCAUCUCCUCGGUGUUACAAAAGGUCAAGCUUGUGAUGCAGCCACAGAGUCUGUGCAAAACAUAAAGAAGGAUUCAUUAAAGGAUAUUUAAAUAAAGUACUGUAUUCAAGUUGAAAAACAAAAUGUCAGCAUGUUAUCCAAUUGAAUUACCCAUGUGUAAUAUCAUCAACAGCAUUAAACAAACUGACUGACCUUCAUCAAACCUAAUCUCAACAAAAUGCACCACUUUGUCUCCUACAAAAUGUCCUCCCGAUCAGCUCUCAAUGUCGAUUACAAUUUGUCAUCCAUCAAAAACAAACAUAAUCUGGGAGGAAAUGCGUUUUAAUUUUAACUUACAUAUUAUCGUUUCACCUUUCUCUAUCGGACCCUUCACUACCUUUCCCGUCCCCAUCUCUCUCUUUGCUCUCUUCCCUGUUAUCCCCUCUCCCCCCAGCCCCUUUCUCACAGAUCUCCAGAGAUACAGCUCAUUCUGACCGAGUGUUACGACUCUUUUGACCACAAAUGUCUCACGAGUGACAGCCUGUGAGAGGAGAAAAUUCAAGUGAGAUUGCUGUUUAAGAUUGGCCAUGGGAGACAGAGGAGCCAAUCUGUGCUGGCACAGAGUUUAAAUAUUCCACCUAGAUUUAGCCGCUGUGACACAGCUGCGAGACGAGAAGCAACACUCAACCACAAAAGCAAUUUCCUACAGCGGAGAUGUCUCUGUUGAGGAGCAGACACAGACUUUUGGCUUAACUGCUGGUUGAGGGAGUAGGAAUAUGUCGCUCUCAAAGGCGUACGCGCUCCAGCACCAGACACGCGAGGCCCAUCCCGCAGCCUGUGCAUUGUCGUUGUUUACCGGAGAGACCGAGAGAUCACUGGAUCACUCCACCUUUCAGUCGCUCCUCCUCCUCUUCACCCCCCUCCGCUGCGCUCUCCUUUCCUCUGCUCGCCGCUGUGGUGGGUUCAGUUCUUGACAAGGCCCCACAUCCUGCUAGUUGCUAAAUGAAUAAUACAUGCAUGUUCUAGCAGCUCUGGUAGACGGAGGGUGAGAGAGAGAGCGAGAGAGAGAGAGAGGAAGGGAGCCGAUGAGAGAUGCUGUGUGUGUUGGUGUGUGUGUGUGUGUGUGUUGAGGCCCCUUAUGGAAAGGCCAAAGCUGUCACAGAACUUUAGAUCCAGUCUAUAUGCGGCGUGUACAAGAUGAGAUGUCUGCAUUCGACACUCUUCUGACUAAUCCUCUCCUCUUUCUCUUAGUUCUCCAGCAGAGAUGGAAACUAGAGUUGUUGGUGCAAUUUAUAUAUAACAAUCGAAUAGAGGAUGAAUGAUUGGAAACGUAGUUCCAGUUCGAUUCGAUUUUCAACACUGUGUGUGUGUGUGUGUGUGUGUGUGUGUGUGUGUGUGUGUGUGUGUGUGUGCGUAAGCAACAUAGCAGUCUCACCAUUUAUUCAAAGCCCCACUAGUUCCCUUUAACCCAGCAGAACGAGGGCUGCCCUACAUUUUAUCAGCUGCUCUCGUUCCGUUUUGACGCAGAUCAAAGCCGCGUGCCAGCCGCCAGCGGAGCACGCAUGCAUUAUCAAUCACGUCUGUGGCUUUUUGUUGUACAGAAAGAAAUUUGCAGAACACAGAUCAAAAGAAUAAAGGUCAUCAAAGGCAAAAUCAUUUUCCGGAUGCAGGGUAGUAGUUCUACACAUACACAAAGGCAAGGGACACAAACAAAUCCAAAAGAUAUUCGCUGCAGUACGCGUAGUUCUGGGUGUGUGUGCACGAUAAAUAAAUAAAUAAGAAUGAACAAUGACA
Molecule: non-coding RNA, 5659 nt
Organism: Gasterosteus aculeatus aculeatus (three-spined stickleback)
Lineage: Eukaryota; Metazoa; Chordata; Actinopteri; Perciformes; Gasterosteidae
Source: RefSeq, a predicted model, not a curated record